CAAGCUUUUAAGAGCAGAUGGCGGAUGCCUUGCCAAAGAGAGGCGAUGAAGGACGUACUAGACUGCGAUAAGCUAUGCGGAGCUGUCAAGGAGCUUUGAUGCGUAGAUGUCCGAAUGGGGCAACCCAACUAAUAGAGAUAUUAGUUACUCUAACUAUAGAGAGCGAACCUAGUGAAGUGAAACAUCUCAGUAACUAGAGGAAAAGAAAUCAACGAGAUUCCCUAAGUAGUGGCGAGCGAACGGGGAAAAGGGCAAACCGAGUGCUUGCAUUCGGGGUUGAGGACUGCAACAUCCAAGAGAACGCUUUAGCAGAGUUACCUGGAAAGGUAAGUCAUAGAAAGUGAUAGCCUUGUAUGCGACAAGGCGUUCUCAGGUAGCAGUAUCCAGAGUAGGCCAGGACACGAGAAAUCCAGGUUGAAGCCGGGGAGACCACUCUCCAACCCUAAAUACUACUCUUUGAGCGAUAGCGAACAAGUACCGUGAGGGAAAAGGUGAAAAGAACCGCAGUGAGCGGAGUGAAAUAGAACCUGAAACCAUCUGCUUACAAUCAUUCAGAGCCCUAUGAUUUAUCAGGGUGAUGGACUGCCUUUUGCAUAAUGAUCCUGCGAGUUGUGGUAUCUGGCAAGGUUAAGCGAAUGCGAAGCCGUAGCGAAAGCGAGUCUUAAUAGGGCGCUUGAGUCAGAUGCUGCAGACCCGAAGCUAAGUGAUCUAUCCAUGGCCAAGUUGAAACGCGUGUAAUAGCGCGUGGAGGACUGAACUCGUACCCAUUGAAACGGGUUGGGAUGAGCUGUGGAUAGGGGUGAAAGGCCAAACAAACUUAGUGAUAGCUGGUUCUCUUCGAAAUAUAUUUAGGUAUAGCCUCAAGUGAUAAUAAAAGGGGGUAGAGCGCUGAUUGGGCUAGGGCUGCUCGCCGCGGUACCAAACCCUAUCAAACUUCGAAUACCUUUUAUCGUAUCUUGGGAGUCAGGCGGUGGGUGAUAAAAUCAAUCGUCAAAAGGGGAACAACCCAGACUACCAAAUAAGGUCCCUAAGUUCUAUUCUGAGUGGAAAAAGAUGUGUGGCUACUCAAACAACCAGGAGGUUGGCUUAGAAGCAGCCAUCCUUUAAAGAAAGCGUAACAGCUCACUGGUCUAGUGGUCAUGCGCUGAAAAUAUAACGGGGCUAAGAUAGACACCGAAUUUGUAGAUUGUGUUUGACACAGUGGUAGAAGAGCGUUCAUACCAGCGUUGAAGGUAUACCGGUAAGGAGUGCUGGAGCGGUAUGAAGUGAGCAUGCAGGAAUGAGUAACGAUAAGAUAUAUGAGAAUUGUAUCCGCCGUAAAUCUAAGGUUUCCUACGCGAUGGUCGUCAUCGUAGGGUUAGUCGGGUCCUAAGCCGAGUCCGAAAGGGGUAGGUGAUGGCAAAUUGGUUAAUAUUCCAAUACCGACUUAUGGAGCGUGAUGGGGGGACGCAUAGGGUUAAGCGAGCUAGCUGAUGGAAUAGCUAGUCUAAGGGCGUAGAUUGGAGGGAAGGCAAAUCCACCUCUGUAUUUGAAACCCAAACAGGCUCUUUGAGUCCUUUUAGGACAAAGGGAGAAUCGCUGAUACCGUCGUGCCAAGAAAAGCCUCUAAGCAUAUCCAUAGUCGUCCGUACCGCAAACCGACACAGGUAGAUGAGAUGAGUAUUCUAAGGCGCGUGAAAGAACUCUGGUUAAGGAACUCUGCAAACUAGCACCGUAAGUUCGCGAUAAGGUGUGCCACAGCGAUGUGGUCUCAGCAAAGAGUCCCUCCCGACUGUUUACCAAAAACACAGCACUUUGCCAACUCGUAAGAGGAAGUAUAAGGUGUGACGCCUGCCCGGUGCUCGAAGGUUAAGAGGAUGCGUCAGUCGCAAGAUGAAGCGUUGAAUUGAAGCCCGAGUAAACGGCGGCCGUAACUAUAACGGUCCUAAGGUAGCGAAAUUCCUUGUCGGUUAAAUACCGACCUGCAUGAAUGGCGUAACGAGAUGGGAGCUGUCUCAACCAGAGAUUCAGUGAAAUUGUAGUGGAGGUGAAAAUUCCUCCUACCCGCGGCAAGACGGAAAGACCCCGUGGACCUUUACUACAACUUAGCACUGCUAAUGGGAAUAUCAUGCGCAGGAUAGGUGGGAGGCUUUGAAGUAAGGGCUUUGGCUCUUAUGGAGCCAUCCUUGAGAUACCACCCUUGAUGUUUCUGUUAGCUAACUGGCCUGUGUUAUCCACAGGCAGGACAAUGCUUGGUGGGUAGUUUGACUGGGGCGGUCGCCUCCUAAAAAGUAACGGAGGCUUGCAAAGGUUGGCUCAUUGCGGUUGGAAAUCGCAAGUUGAGUGUAAUGGCACAAGCCAGCCUGACUGUAAGACAUACAAGUCAAGCAGAGACGAAAGUCGGUCAUAGUGAUCCGGUGGUUCUGUGUGGAAGGGCCAUCGCUCAAAGGAUAAAAGGUACCCCGGGGAUAACAGGCUGAUCUCCCCCAAGAGCUCACAUCGACGGGGAGGUUUGGCACCUCGAUGUCGGCUCAUCGCAUCCUGGGGCUGGAGCAGGUCCCAAGGGUAUGGCUGUUCGCCAUUUAAAGCGGUACGCGAGCUGGGUUCAGAACGUCGUGAGACAGUUCGGUCCCUAUCUGCCGUGGGCGUAGGAAAGUUGAGGAGAGCUGUCCCUAGUACGAGAGGACCGGGAUGGACGUGUCACUGGUGCACCAGUUGUUCUGCCAAGAGCAUCGCUGGGUAGCUACACACGGAUGUGAUAACUGCUGAAAGCAUCUAAGCAGGAAGCCAACUCCAAGAUGAACUUUCCCUGAAGCUCGCACAAAGACUAUGUGCUUGAUAGGGUAGAUGUGUAAGUGCAGUAAUGCGUUUAGCUGACUACUACUAAUAGAGCGUUUGGCUUGUUUU
RNAcentral lists this ribosomal RNA (2886 nucleotides) under Helicobacter pylori Hp P-13. RNAcentral describes it as "bacterial LSU rRNA". It matches the Rfam family "Bacterial large subunit ribosomal RNA". Lineage: Bacteria; Pseudomonadati; Campylobacterota; Epsilonproteobacteria; Campylobacterales; Helicobacteraceae. The record is from RNAcentral.